CGGCGCUUUGAAUUGAAAUCCUCCGCUGCCGCCCAAUUAGGGAGCGCAGGGCCGCUGCCCCGGACGGACAGGGGGUGGCCCGGGGCUGGGAGGCGCUGCCGGGAAGCGCGGCCGUGCGGGGCCGGAGAGGAACAUUGACCUCCAUCCUGAAGAAGACAUCACUUCCACGAUACUUUGACAUAGUCCCCUGGAAAUGAAGCAAGAGUCUACUAGAAAUGCUGCUUACACGGUGGACUGUGAAGAUUAUGUGCAUGUGAUAAAAUUCAAUCCAUUUAAUAGUGGAGAUGCAUGUUCCCUCAUUGCAUAUGGUGGCAAUAACUAUGUAGUUUCAGGGACACGUAGAUUUCAGGUUUGUUUCUGCAUUUCUGGCGGCAGAACGCUGAGGACCAGAGCUGAUGCAAUAGAAGGUGUUUGGAGCAAAUUUGCCAAUGACACUAAACUUAGAGGAGCUGUGGACUCUGUUGAGGGUGGAAAGGCUGUGCAGAGAGAUCUGGACACAUUGGAGAGCUGGGCAAUCACCAACCAGGGGAAGUUUAACAAGAGCAAGUACCGGCAAAGUACCAGCAAGUACCCUCCUUUAUCCAGAAGUCUUUUGAGAGCUUCAGUAUUCAGCCCCCAAGUUGGCGGAACGCUGAGGACCAGAGCUGAUGCAAUAGCUGCAAGGCAAGUGCGUGGAGAAAAUGGGAAUUUGGAGCCGAAGCUGCAGACUUUGAGGAAGUCGCUACCCUACUACAAAUCCAUCCUUUCUGUUUGACAGCCUUAGAAGAAAUGCCAUUGUCUCAACACUUCUGGAUGGCAUAGACAACAGAGGGGAGAUUGUGGUAAUCAGAGCCACCAACAGACCAGGUUCUAUAGAUCCUGCUUUACGGAGACCAGGACGCUUUGACAGAGAGUUCCUCUUCAACUUGCGAAAUAAAGAGGAAAUGUAAAUCCUAUUUUACAAGCUGAUACACUUGACAGUGACGAUGACGCAUCCUUAAUAUCUGGAGAUGAACUACCAGGAGUGCUUACUAGAAACCGACAUCAUGUGAGCCUCAUCUGCUAAUAACAGGAAAAGAGGGAUAUGGCCAGGUUUCUUAUUUGGCACCCGCGGUGUUGCAUGCUUGUGAGAAGUCUCCAUUCACACCCUGACCCUAUCCAUUCUGUUUACAAACGUUGCACCGCCAGAAGAAAUAUGCGGAGAGGUCUCUUUUUUCUUUUUAUUCUCAUAGGAUUUGUUGACUGUAUGUAAAGGAUCAAUUGAGUUGCAAGUAAGAUUCUUACAAGCUUCAAAUGGCUCCUACUGGGCAUUCCCAGGUAGAACAGCACCAGAUGAGUGUUGAGACCACCGUGGAAGCUUCUACAGAGCCAGACAAUGUAGUUAUUGUGCAGCACUAUGAGCUCAAAGUAUGUCAAAUUCCAACUUUUUUAAAUGCUCAAAUAGGACAUAUUCUUGUGACCUGUACAAUUACAACUUAAGUCAGUUGUUAAGCAAUGCCAAUUAAAACAAUUAAUUGGAAGGACAUACAGAUUGUGAAGUAAUUCAACCUAUAAUGCACUGUGGCUGUUUAGUUUCCACACCUUGUGUAGAUUUCUGUAGGCCACCGUUUGCUUUUGGUCAACUGUAGUUGAGGAGACAGAUUCUUUGCCUAAUUUUUAAGGUAAAAGGCCUUGUUGAAUUUUAAAAUACCUCACUGAUGACCUGCUAGUACUAUUGGUUAUGAUUGUUGUUUUAACAAUUUUUCUGAUGAUGGGCUUUUAUUUGGGGAUGUUUAUUAUGAGUUGUUGUUUUUCUGUUUGUUUGUUUGUU
Non-coding RNA from Anas platyrhynchos (mallard), 1789 nucleotides. NCBI's taxonomy places the organism in Eukaryota, Metazoa, Chordata, Aves, Anseriformes, Anatidae. The record is from RefSeq and is a predicted model, not a curated record.